GUUUUAUCUGUCUUAAAUAAGACUCCUUCUUGUCUUUUUGCUAGGUAGUCACGUGGUAUAAAGAGGCAGAUCCACAUGUCCAACUCCCCCCAUCCUCUUGUUUAUUAAGUAAAGGACCCAGUGGCCUGCACUUGCUGAAGGAUGAGGGACAGGAUAACUACAAGGUGCAGGCCCACACUGCAGUCAGAACCAGCUCGGCGCUGUCAGCCAGUCUUCACUUUCUGGGAAAGAUCGUCAUAACUUGGAGAACAAUUAGGCUCCCAGAAAGCAAAACAAACCCUUGUUUUGUAUGAGCCUAUUUAUUCAGCAGUCAGCAGUCAGCUGUCUGAAUCCCUGGAAUUCUUGCUGCCUCAUGGGCUAAGCCCAACCCCCUAACCUGACAGCUAAGACCAGUCAGAGGCAAUACGGGGCGUGCAGGUGAGCCUCUUAAAUAACCUCACCCAUUGUGGCCCAGGAGCUCCAUUUCCUCCUCUUCAGCCCUCUCUCCGUGUCUACCACUCUAAAAGGCAUCCACAGGGAGACAGGGAGGGCAGGAGAAGGUGUACUAGAGACAAACAGGCAAAGCCCCUGGACUGUGGGAUCGCCUAACAGACACAUACCUAUAGACACAAGCUUGUGUGCAGAAUCAGCACAAGUUCGGAUCUACGGGUUUGUGGCAACAGGCUUCAGUGUCUUCUCUUGUGUGUGGGUUGACUUGUCUGAAGAUAGAAUGUUAAAGCCAUUAGUCCAACAAAAAAGAGUUUGUCAUUGGCUCAUUUAAUCCAACAACAGAUUUUGCGAUUGGGUCAUUUCAUGCCAGAAACUAGGUAUCUCCUCCAGUAGACCUAGUUUUUCAUUUGCUUGAUGAAGUGAGCUUCAGGUGAGCUUUAUUUGAUCAGAAUCCUCAUCUAUUUAGCCCAAACCAAUGUCAAUAUGGCCAAUAAGAAGAAUGAGACAGAUUCUAAGAGAUAGAACAAGUGCCUGGAUGCAAGGUAAUUCUUUUAACUUCUGCAAUUCUGUGGUAAAGGUUAUUGAGAUCUGCCCCCCCAUUUUGUUUGUUUGUUUGCAUGUCAGAAAAAACAAGCAGAAUUAACUAGCAAGCACUGCUAAAAGAAACUUGGAAGAGAGCUUUCCCAACUCAUCUUAGCAGAGAUUUCAUUACACUGAACUAUGACGUUCCUCUUCAAGAAGUUUGUGGCUUUGAGCCAUCCUUUCCCAACACCAGAAUUGACCCAAAUAUAAACAACAAGAAAGUAUGGGGGUAUUUUUAAAAAUCAAGUUGUAAAAGAAAAUAAAUCCCUACUAACCCUAAAACUACUGAAGGGGAUAAGGUUGCCUCUCUUUCCUUAUUAUAAAAAGAUUUCAUUUGUUAAGACACAAUCAAUUGUUCACACAAAGUUAAGGCAGCAUAGGAAGAAUGGGACCUUCAAGACAACGGACCUUUGUAAAUGGCCCCUCCUCUGAACUCCUGUAGACAUGGUCAUCACAAAAAUCACUUCAGGAAAACUUGUUGGACAUUUAGACAAUCCCUUCCCUAGAUGUCAGGAAAAGCAUAUACCUUCUGCCUUUGAACAGCCUUACCACAGACAUUUUAAAUCUCUGCCAGCUGGCUUUGGCCUUCAAGAGGAUCUUGUUCACCUUAUCAAAUGGACAUUUACUUGCUGAGAGCCCAGAAGAUAAACAGAGGCUCAACAACAAUGAAAGCCCAAUUGGCGAACUAUUCAUGGAGUAGGUUCGGCUUCACGCAUGCAUCCUAAUAGGUAAAAUAGGAACCUAGGAACGCAAGAUGAUCUGAGAUGCUACCCCGGUGUUCCUUAUCUGCCUGGUUCACCCCAGAGCCACACCCACAAGUGUUUACAGUUAGACGAUGAUGUAGAGGUUGCAGUAUCUGAGAACCACAUCAAGAAGCAACCAAACCAUGAUUCCCCCUAAAGAGUCUCUGCAUCACUUAUUUUUUGUUUUUUGUUUUCUUGGGGUUUGUUUGUUUGUUUGUUUGUUUGUUUGUUUGUUUGUUUUCAAGACAGGAUUUCUUUGUGUAGCCCUGGCUGUCCUGGAACUCACUUUGUAGACCAGGACAGCCAAGGCUAUACAGAGAAACCCUGUCUUGGAAAACGAUAAUAAAUAAAUAAAUAGAUAAAUAGAUAAAUAAAUAAAUAAAUGAAUGCUUACACUCUAACUUCUGUUUCUCUUCAUAGCAGUCAAUCA
RNAcentral lists this long non-coding RNA (2184 nucleotides) under Mus musculus (house mouse). RNAcentral's name for it is "predicted gene, 48742". The stretch from base 590 to 659 matches the Rfam family "mir-10 microRNA precursor family". The record is from RNAcentral. Lineage: Eukaryota; Metazoa; Chordata; Mammalia; Rodentia; Muridae.